ACAUACUUCCUACCUUACCCAGGGGGCUGUGGGUACAGUUUGAGGCUUUUGACAUUGUAAUUACUAGGUCUUGCUGUUUCGGGGGAGUGCCUUGUCCUACCUAUUCCAAAUAAGCAGCGCGUUCAACCACACUCCAAGCAAACGGUUCUGUUUUGGAUGUUCCAGGGAAAAGAGGAAUGUACUCCGGGCACUGUUUACCUCUCCUGCCGCACCAGGGUAAACUUCCUAGAGCAGCUAAGUCUCCGGUGAGGUUUGGCAGUUCCCGGUCACCAGCAGUGAGGAUCAAUGCUCCUCCUUUCUUCCCUGAGUCUGUGGCCCCUGCAUGCCUCUUCUGCCUGAUACCCACACACUGUCCCCCGGCAGUGUCCUGGUAUCUUCAGCGACAGGGAAACAGCAGGACUCUUGAGGGACCCUGGGUGCGGCUCCAGUAAUGACUCCAUUCUGUGGGAUUGUCUGGGGCUGAACCACUCCCCGAGGCUGCCUUUCAAAGCCCCAAGCGAGUACCCGAUCAUCUACCACUCAUCAGGAGACCAGGCCCUGGGUCACAAAUGCCUUUGAUCACACGGGGCGUUUUCAACUCCGCUGACCUUUUCUGACUUGGGUGACGGUGUUCUGGGGCUGCCAGAACAAACCCCACAAGCUGGGUGGCUUAACAACAGAACCCUGGGUUCUCACAGUCCCAGAGUCCUGAUCAAGACCCGGGGAGGGACGGCUCCGGAGGCUUGCAAGCAGGGCUAGGUCAGCACUUCCCGCCUGACUCCUCGCUGGGCUGUCCGCCCGUCCAGGGUGGCUCCUGUUUUGUCCACAUGCCAUUCCAAUCUUCGCCUCUGUUGCCCCACAGGCAUGUCCCCUGCUCAGGAAGACCUCAGUCACGUGGGACCAGGACUCUCCCUGACCUCCUCUUAACUUGCUUACAUCUGCGAAGACCCUCGUUCCAAAUAAAGCCACCCUCACAGGAAGGGGCAGUCCGGAGGUCGAUGCAGUUUGGAAUGCCGUCCAGAGCACAGCUCUGACCUAGCGAAGGAAGUGUGUCCCCGGCCCCAGGCACUGGGGAGUUCUCCGUGAGAACAAUGCCUCCAAAAGGCAGGGAAGGCCGGCCUGCAGCAAGCUUUGCGCAUCCUCAAGCGCAGAUAGAUAGGCUGAGCUUUGUGUGAAAUGUCAGUCCUGGUUUCCGUUUGCCUGGUCCUAGCCCUCGGGUGUUCAACUCCUAGGCUAGGAGUCUAUUUUUAGUUUAAUGAAUAAUGUAUCUGUUUUGAAAAUGACUAAUGAAAAAAAAUCAUCGGCUUUGGACUGAAUCAGAGCGUGAGUGUCUGGUCUCCGCCGCUAAUUUUCUGCACGUCCCUCCCUCUGCGUCGGCUACAAGGAAAAUGCCUACUUGACCUUCUUUUUCUUUUCUUUUUCUUUUUGUCACAGUGACCCCUUCUACAACGAGGUUGAGUCUGCACUCAGCCGCAGCUGGCAACAUGCGACACAUUAUGAAAUUAAACGCCUGCCACUCCUAAAUCUUACUUUCUUAGGUGUCCGUGAGCUGCGUACAUCUCCAUGUUUUUGAGUAUCAGCGGAGGUGGGGUGGGGUGGCCAGGGAGGAGGAUGUUUUCCUCUGGGCAGAGCCACAGAGGACAUUUACAAGACCCUCGUGUUAUCUCAGGCCCGAAGUCUGGUACGCAUUCUUGGGCUGCCUCGGGUGUCCUGAUCACAUCCACACUGACCUUAGAUUAGGGCCAGUUCCGCACACGUGAGUCAGCUACUUUCUAGCUACUGCGGCCAGAAAAUGACUGUUUGUUUUUUCAGGAGUGUCUUGUGAAAUCGUCUUGCUAAGUCUGAGAAACAGUGGCAUUUCAUUUUUCAGAAACAGUUCCUUUUUGGCAGUGUUAAUAAAAUGAUCCAUGUUUACCCAAA
Non-coding RNA from Peromyscus maniculatus bairdii (prairie deer mouse), 1899 nucleotides. The record is from RefSeq and is a predicted model, not a curated record. NCBI's taxonomy places the organism in Eukaryota, Metazoa, Chordata, Mammalia, Rodentia, Cricetidae.